CAAUGGGCGAAAGCCUGAUGCAGCAACGCCGCGUGCGGGAAGAAGGCCUUAGGGUUGUAAACCGCUUUCAGCAGGGAAGAAACUGACGGUACCUGCAGAAGAAGGUGCGGCCAACUACGUGCCAGCAGCCGCGGUGACACGUAGGCACCAAGCGUUGUCCGGAUUUAUUGGGCGUAAAGAGCUCGUAGGCGGUUCGGUAAGUCGGGUGUGAAAACUCUGGGCUCAACCCAGAGCGGCCACCCGAUACUGCCGUGACUCGAGUGCGGUAGGGGAGCGGGGAAUUCCUGGUGUAGCGGUGAAAUGCGCAGAUAUCAGGAGGAACACCAGUGGCGAAGGCGCCGCUCUGGGCCGCAACUGACGCUGAGGAGCGAAAGCGUGGGGAGCAAACAGGAUUAGAUACCCUGGUAGUCCACGCCGUAAACGUUGGGCACUAGGUGUGGGUCUCAACCAACGAGAUCCGCGCCGUCGCUAACGCAUUAAGUGCCCCGCCUGGGGAGUACGGCCGCAAGGCUA
RNAcentral lists this ribosomal RNA (513 nucleotides) under uncultured Actinomycetes bacterium. Its description in RNAcentral is "bacterial SSU rRNA". It matches the Rfam family "Bacterial small subunit ribosomal RNA", at positions 369 to 896 of the family's 1533-position model. Lineage: Bacteria; Bacillati; Actinomycetota; Actinomycetes. The record is from RNAcentral.